This 457-nucleotide ribosomal RNA is filed under the name uncultured bacterium. RNAcentral describes it as "partial 16S ribosomal RNA". It matches the Rfam family "Bacterial small subunit ribosomal RNA", at positions 338 to 795 of the family's 1533-position model. The record is from RNAcentral.
CCUACGGGAGGCAGCAGUGAGGAAUAUUGGUCAAUGGGCGGAAGCCUGAACCAGCCAAGUAGCGUGCAGGAUGACGGUCCUACGGGUUGUACACUGCUUUUAUACGGGAAUAACGCGCCUUACGUGUAGGGCUUUGCAUGUACCGUAUGAAUCAGGACCGGCUAAUUCCGUGCCAGCAGCCGCGGUAAUACGGAAGGUCCGGGCGUUAUCCGGAUUUAUUGGGUUUAAAGGGUGCGCAGGCGGAGGUGCAAGUCAGCGGUAAAAUUGCGGGGCUCAACCCCGUACUGCCGUUGAACCUGCAUCGCUUGAGUGCGCGAGAAGUAUGCGGAAUGCGGGGUGUAGCGGUGAAAUGCAUAGAUAUCACGCAGAACUCGGAUUGCGAAGGCAGCAUACCGGCGCGCAACUGACGCUCAUGCACGAAAGCGUGGGUAUCGAACAGGAUUAGAUACCCGUAGUC